AUUUUAUUUAUAAUACUUGUAGAUACGAUUUUUGGGUAUUUGCGCAUACAUGUAACGUUGCGCUCUUAUGAAUUGUUAUAUUUCCCGUUUUUAAAGUUUUAUGACGUUUAGCCUUUUACGUACGUUACGUUGUCUAGUUUUUAUUCAUUGCAAGUUAUUUGAUAUUCGGAGACACAUCAUUAUUUUAUAGAGAGAUCAUAAUCGGUAAGAGAUAAUUUAUG
This 221-nucleotide long non-coding RNA is filed under the name Mytilus galloprovincialis (Mediterranean mussel). The record is from RNAcentral. Lineage: Eukaryota; Metazoa; Mollusca; Bivalvia; Mytilida; Mytilidae.